RNAcentral lists this ribosomal RNA (376 nucleotides) under uncultured bacterium. Its description in RNAcentral is "bacterial SSU rRNA". It matches the Rfam family "Bacterial small subunit ribosomal RNA", at positions 521 to 896 of the family's 1533-position model. The record is from RNAcentral.
UAAGACGAACCGUGCGAACGUUGUUCGGAAUCACUGGGCUUAAAGGGCGCGUAGGCGGGCCACCAAGUCCGGGGUGAAAUCUUUCGGCUUAACCGGAAAACAGCUUUGGAUACUGGUGGCCUCGAGGGAGGUAGGGGCACGCGGAACUUCCGGUGGAGCGGUGAAAUGCGUUGAUAUCGGAAGGAACUCCGGUGGCGAAAGCGGCGUGCUGGACCUCUUCUGACGCUGAGGCGCGAAAGCCAGGGGAGCAAACGGGAUUAGAUACCCCGGUAGUCCUGGCCCUAAACGAUGGGUACUAGGUAGUGGGCUUGACAUGGGCUCACUGCCGGAGCAAAAGUGUUAAGUACCCCGCCUGGGGAGUAUGGUCGCAAGGCUG